GGAAAAUGUGAUUGGAGAAAGGAGGGAAGCCUAGACGGUCUCAGGAGCCACCUCUUUUCCAAGACUGCCUUUCCUACUAGAAAGCGACAGGCCUCUCAGCCAAUCAGCGCAGAGACCGGUGGACUUGAGAACAAGCCAAUAAGAAGCGUUGGGUGACUCGCGAGAUCGUGGAUUUAACCGCUUCAGUGAAACGCGGAGUCUGUACUAUAAGCGGCUCAGGGGACCGCGCCGCGCCGCGCCCCGGCCUAUCCCAUCCCAUCCCCUGGAGCAGCCACCCGCCGGCGGCAGGCUGCGCUGCCCACGCCUUGCGGAGGAGCGUCUUUGCUGUGGGCGUCGUUCCCGUCAGCCCAGGCAGCUCUUUCCUAUCGCUGCCGGGAGCGGCGGGCUGCGGGCACCCGCGUCCCGGCACCUCCCGUAGGAGACUCGUAGCUGUCCCGUGAAACACCUGCAGUGCCAGCCGCUGGGUUGCGAAGAUCAGUUUGGAAACGUGAUGGAAAAUAAGAAGGGCCAUUGGGGUGUGGAAGGAAGAACCGCCAUGUUGAGUCUGGCCAAUGGGCCUCCAGCUCAGUCGCCGCUUUUUGACUGGGGUCAGGGCCUGAUGCCUCUCAGGGGAUGAACUGAACAGGGCAAUUCGCAAGUGAGCCAUCCCCUGCCAUCGAGUCCCAGCUUCUGGUAGUCCGGUUUAGGGGCAUCCAGGGGCAUGGGAUCGUUUCUCUGACCAUCUUGGCUAUUAGCUAUUGAUGGACCUGUCCUCCAUGAAUAUACCUAAGCCUUUUUUUGAACCCAAGUUAGACUUUUGGCCCUGGCAACAUUUCCUGGCCACCAGUUCCGCAGGUUGACUGUGUGUUGUGUGAAGUACUUCCUUGUGUUGGUUUAAUCUGCUAUUAACUUCAUUCUGUGACCCCCUGUGUUAUGUGACAGUGUACCUUCAUUUUAAUCUGCCUUGUUACACCGAGGCAGCUUUGAGAGACAUCAAAGUGCACCAAGCCUCAGCACACCACAGUGAAUCCUCAAAAACACCAUGGGAAACAUUUGGAAAACGGGACAAAACCCACAAAAGGACAGCACUCUUGGGUGAUGCUAUAAUUGAGCUGGUGUGAUUUCCUCCACUGGUAGUGCAAUGAGCUGCCGUGUGGAAAUCUUGAGUUUGAGAUCUGUCUUCCUAAUCAGAAUUCCCAUGGCCACGGAGAAUAAGCCCAUCAAAGGCUGGCAUUUUGAACUCCUGGAGGAGGGUCAGUGCAUACUGCCUUCAGGCAAAUCCAACCUUCCUACCUUUUUCUCUGUGGAUGUGGAGAGCCUUCAAUGGACUGAAACCUCUCAGUUCUGCCCCACGAGUGAUUCAGGAUGCUGGGAAUCUGUAACAGGGGUCUGAACCCUUCUGUGGUCAGUUGGCUCUAACUCCCCAGGGCACUCAGUGCAGACAUGUACCGAAGCUCUCUGGAGCAGGCAGGGCAGGAAGCUUCACCGCUAUACAGAUCUGCUUUGUUCCCUUUGAACAGAGGGAGCACGGGGGCUGUUGAGCCUACUCUAGCCCUAAAGAAUACAAUAUUGACCGUGGAGCAGCUUUAUUCCCACUCCACAACCUGGAGGAAGGGGUAAGGUUUUUUACCCCGCCACUCUUGUCCCACUGAGUUCCGAUAAGUUAGAAUGGGCACAGGAUUUUGGCCUAUGUUCACCUUUUAGCAGCAACAAGUCUGCAGACAACCUCAGAUAGUCACAGUGGCAAGGAAAGCAAGAUAUUUAAAAAGGGAAAUUAACAUCCUGGCUAGAAGAGCAAAAUUCACCCACCCUCUGGACUAGUUCCUUCAAUUAUACAUUUCAUUGUAACAGGCAUUAAAAAAAACAAAACACAAAGACAAAACUAUGCAUAUUUCAUAUAUUAGGCCCAACAUGAACAAGGUCAGUUUAUAUUGGCAAAAAUUCAGACCUUCUGGAGGAAAAGUAUAUAUUUAGCCACAAAAUGUUUAGGAUUUGUAAUGAAAAUGUGUACAAAAUAGUAUCUCUACAACCCACAGCUGGUAGGAAGGUCCCACAUGGAUGCUUUGGGAUAUGGUAUUGGUGACAUAGCACUCUUCCCUCCGAGUCAGUACUGAACCAAGGCUCCUGCAAAAUACUGGGGGGAAUAUGCUGCUGGAGGUACCAUUCGUUGGAUGGUAUGUAAAACAAGUGAAGCUCACUUGUGGUCAGUAAAGGUAGAUCUGGUAGUAAAUUUCCACCAAAGUUUCACUUUGAUGAAAGUCAGAGAAGUUUUUCACAAACACUUGUAUUUAAAAUAUUUUCCUUUUCCCAACCAUCUCUAAAGAUAUAGGACGGGAUUGUAACUCUGGUGGGCUACUUAAAUUCAAGUUUGCUUAAGUACAUUAUGCCUAACUGAAAGUAUCUCUGUGGUUUUAAAUGGAUAAGGUAUUCCUUUCACAUCCUAAGCUGCUUUAUAGUGUUUCUGUGUAUUGUUGAACAGUUGCCAAGUUUUACCCCAGAUAUAGAUGCACUGCAGAUCCUUCAUGUAAACUGUGUAUUAGUUCAUAAUGCACUUUUGGAUCCUUAAAGAUGUAAAAGUGCUAUGUGUAAAUUUAUUAGAAAAGGCUAGCACACAUGAAGUGUGUAUUUUAAGCUCUGUUCUAUGCCCGUGCCCACUUUCAGAGAGGGUUGAGGACAACCUGUGCUUUAAUGCUUUGUGGCUCCUGCUGCAAAUACAGGCACAAACACAGAUGUUACAUUGUUUUAAAAAUAAUAUGUAUUGAAAACUGAUGGAAAAUGAUUAACUGUUUUUCCUUGAAAUUCUUAGUUGUUUUUCCAAUUUGAUUAAAUGUGGAGUGUUCUUCUAUCA
Molecule: long non-coding RNA, 2827 nt
Organism: Caretta caretta (loggerhead turtle)
Lineage: Eukaryota; Metazoa; Chordata; Testudines; Cheloniidae
Source: RefSeq, a predicted model, not a curated record